AACUUUUUUAGAGGAGAGACAAACAUCUGCAAGGGCUGACCACACGAAGACCCAACCAUGCAAUGACCCAACGAAGAGUGAGCUUAAAGGAUCGACUGCCAGUAGGCCUACCUGCAGAAUUGGAGUAGUUCGCUUGUUCUACAUUCCUGUUUGUAAAUCUUGAAA
Pimephales promelas (fathead minnow) is the source of this 165-nucleotide non-coding RNA. The record is from RefSeq and is a predicted model, not a curated record. Lineage: Eukaryota; Metazoa; Chordata; Actinopteri; Cypriniformes; Leuciscidae.